Cervus elaphus (red deer) is the source of this 202-nucleotide long non-coding RNA. RefSeq lists it as uncharacterized. Lineage: Eukaryota; Metazoa; Chordata; Mammalia; Artiodactyla; Cervidae. The transcript is spliced from 4 exons. The record is from RefSeq and is a predicted model, not a curated record.
UCAUCAAAAAAAAUCUACAAACAAUAAAUGCUGGAGAGGGUAUGGAAAAAAGGGAGCCCUCUUGCACUAUUAGUGGGAACGUAAAUUGAUACAGCCAUUAUGGAAGAUAGUAUAGAGAUUUCUUUAAAAACUAGGAAUAAAACCACCAUAUGACCCAGCAAUCCCACUCCUAGGCAUAUAUCCUGAGGAAACCAAAAUUGAA